RNAcentral lists this ribosomal RNA (1322 nucleotides) under metagenome. Its description in RNAcentral is "bacterial SSU rRNA". It matches the Rfam family "Bacterial small subunit ribosomal RNA", at positions 89 to 1444 of the family's 1533-position model. The record is from RNAcentral.
GUCAUAGUGGCGGAAGGGUGAGUAAAAGUAUCGGAUGUACCCCGAGGUGGGGGAUAGGCAUGGGAAACUGUGCGUAAUACCUCAUGAUCUCGAAAGAGCAAAGCUACGGCGCCUUGGGAGCAGCGAUAUACCUAUCAGGUAGUUGGCGGGGUAAUGGCCCACCAAGCCGAAGACGGGUAGCCGGUGUGAGAGCACGGCCGGCCACAUCGGGACUGAGACACUGCCCGGACUCCUACGGGAGGCUGCAGUAACGAAUAUUCCGCAAUGCGCGAAAGCGUGACGGAGCAAUGCCGCGUGCAGGAUGAAGCGGUUUCGCCGUGUAAACUGCUGUCAGGGGCUACUAACUAUGAAGAGCCCCAGAGGAAGGACCGGCUAAUCUCGUGCCAGCAGCCGCGGUAAUACGAGAGGUCCAAGCGUUAGUCGGAAUCACUGGGCUUAAAGGGUGCGUAGGCGGGCCUGUAAGUGUUUUGUGAAAUCCCAUGGCUCAACCAUGGAAUCGCAGGGCAUACUGCAGGCCUCGAGGAAGCUAGAGGCCGGUGGAACGAUAGGUGGAGCGGUGGAAUGCGUAGAUAUCUAUCGGAACGCCAAAGGUGAAGACAGCCGGCUGGGGCUUUCCUGACGCUGAGGCACGAAAGCGUGGGGAUCAAACAGGAUUAGAUACCCUGGUAGUCCACGCCCUAAACGAUGCACAUUAGACCGAUGCGGCUCUGACGUCGUAUUGGUCGUAGAGAAAUUGCUAAAUGUGCCGCCUGGGGAGUACGGCCGCAAGGCUAAAACUCAAAGAAAUUGACGGGGGCUCACACAAGCGGUGGAGCAUGUUGCUUAAUUCGAAGCAACGCGAAGAACCUUACCUGGUCUUGACAUGUACGGAAUCCUUUAGAGAUAGAGGAGUGCCUUCGGGAACCGUAACACAGGUGCUGCAUGGCUGUCGUCAGCUCGUGUCGUGAGAUGUUGGGUUAAGUCCCGCAACGAGCGCAACCCCUGUCCUUAGUUGCCAGCACGUAAUGGUGGGAACUCUAAGGAGACUGCCGGUGACAAACCGGAGGAAGGUGGGGAUGACGUCAAGUCAUCAUGGCCCUUACGACCAGGGCUACACACGUACUACAAUGGUAGGGACAGAGGGUCGCAAUACCGCGAGGUGGAGCCAAUCCCAGAAACCCUAUCUUAGUCCGGAUCGCAGUCUGCAACUCGACUGCGUGAAGUCGGAAUCGCUAGUAAUCGCGGAUCAGCAUUGCCGCGGUGAAUACGUUCCCGGGCCUUGUACACACCGCCCGUCACACCAUGGGAGUUUGUUGCACCAGAAGCAGGUAGCUUAACCACGC